UAGUUAUAGCAAACUACAAAUCGUCCGAUUCCGUCCAUCGUCAAUAUUAAUCUCUUUAACAAGUUUUAAAGAUGGAAAUUUGUAAAGCUAUAUUUUUAUUUAUACAUACAUACAUAUAUGCAAAUUUUAUUUCUUUCGUAGGCGACACUGGGUACUCUUAGCUGCUAACACCCCACUUAUCCGCGACAGGCGGAUCUUCUUCUUCUUCUUUACUGGCGCAGACACCACUUACGUUAACAACAGUGCGCCAUUCGUUUCUUCUUUUCACAACGUGGCCCAAGUUGGAGACUCCAAGCGAAGCCAAGUCCUUCCCCAAUUGGUAUUUCCAAUGGAGUAGAGGUCUUCCUCUGCCUCUGCUUCCCACGGCGGGUAAUACGUCGAAUACUUUCACAGCUGGAGUGCUUUCAUCCAUUCGGACGACAUGAUCUAGCCAGCGCAGCUGCUAUCUCUUAAUUCGCUGAACUAUGUCAAUAUCGUCGUAUAUCCCAUACAGCACAUCGUUCCUUUGAAUGCGAUAUUCGCUCAAAGGAACAUAAAUCUUCCGCAGGACCUUUCUCUCGAAAACUAGUAAUGUCAACUCAUCAGAUAGCGAUACGGGAAUAAUGUAUAAGUCACUCAGUUAGUUUUGGUUCGUCGAGAGAGGACUAUAUAUCUCAAUGGCCUACUUAAUUCGAAGUAGCACCUGUUGGCAAAAGAUAUUCUGCGUUGGAUUUCGUUGCUGACAUUGUCGUUGCUGUUUAUACCGGUUCCAAGAUAGACGAAAUUAUCUACAACUUCGAAGUUAUGACUGUCAAAAGGAAUGUGGGUGCUUAGUCAGGAGAUAUUUUGUCUUGCCCUCAUUCAUUUCCUGAACCAUUUGCUUUGCUUCUUUAUCCAGUCUUGAUUGAAGAAGUCGCACGAUAGAGGGUUGCAUUGAAACUUUGUUUGGUAUCGAACGGCUCAGAAAGGUCCUUCCCGAUCCUGACGGAGCUUUUGGUAUUGCCCAACGUCAGUUUAGACAACCGUAUUAGUUUUGCAAGGAUACCAAAUUCAGACAUCGCGGCAUAAAGGCAGCUCCUUUUCGUGCUGUCGAAAGCAGCCUUGAAAUCGACGAAGAAGUGGUGUAUGUCAAUUCUCCUUUCACGGGUCUUUUCCAAGAUUUGGCGCAUGGUGAAUAUUUAGUUGGUUGUUGAUUUUGAGGUCUACAGUCGCACUGAUAAGGUCCAAUCAGUUUGUUGAGGGUGGUGGAUAGAACCUUGUAUUCGAUGAUAAAGAGACUUGCAUGUUCCUUAUCAGUUCUUCGCCACCGUGUUUGAAUAGCUCGGCCGGCAAACGUCUGCUCCAUUGUCAUCGAUAGGAGAUUCAAGUUCGCCUCCUCCUGGUGUUAUUCGGCGUUGAUGUCAGUCUUCAUUCUAACGAGGAAAUCAACCAGAAGGCAUCGGCGCCUUCUCAAGUAAGGAACUAGACAUUCCAGGUGCAUGCCCUUAAAUCGGAAUCCCUAACACUUUUGCAAGGGUCGUCAUCAAAAGGGGUCUCUCAUCCGGAGCAGUUUGCUUCUUUUCCUUAUUAGUGUUUUUUAUGUGGCCUGUAGAGGGGAUGCCUUCUCAAUUUAGCUCGCUUUCAACCGAUGUCCUUUGGCUACCCAGAGGAUACUUGGUCUAGGACCGGAAGACGUGAGCUGCUUGAGCCAUUUUUAAAAGAAUCGUUUCUGGCCACUCCUAAGUGAAUGGCAAUCAGAGAAUCUCACUUGUGUGAACUUCUACACAUGGCUCCAUCCUCCAGAUGGAUCUUCAGAAAGUAUUCAAUCAAUAGACAAAAAUAGCGCCACUUAAGGCUGAUCAUAUAUGUAGCGAGGCAAAAAAAUAUAUUUUGUAAUGUUAGUUAAACGCUCAACCUGAAAACUGAAUUAACAUUCAAAUUUUAAUUAUUAAAUACCUUGAAUAUAUUAUAGAAAACUACAUAACUUUUUACAUGUUUGCACUGACAAAAUUCAAGAUAGGAUAAGGCCAUGGGAAGAUCACAAUUUGGUCCGACUUCUUAAACGAUUUAUAACAAAACUGGGAAUUCAGAAUUUAGAUUAGUUCGAUUGUUAAUGUUUUUUUAGUUAUAUAGUAUACUACUGACUGUAAAAUUUUCCGAAACCAUUUUAUAAACUAAAAUUUUCUUGAAGAAAAAAUAUUGCAUUAUCAUCUCAUUGAUGCCUACUUUUUUGUAUGGUUAAAGGUAAGCAAAUAUUUGCCGAAAAAUUGCAAAAAUAAAUUCCAUAUCACCGUUUCCUCCACUUCAAAUCUAAAUAUUCAUAUUUUGUUUGCAUUAUUUGUCCAAGCGGAGCCACAUACUUUAAAAUGGUGUCAUUUUCAACACGAUAAAAUUUUAAUAUAACAUCAAGUGGCUGCUGUUAACAUUUAUAAGCUGCUGAGUACUACUAUAAGUGCAAUUUAAUAUCGCACUUGAUGUUUAGUAAUAACGCAAAAAUAUUUCAAAUGUUAACAAAUGCCAACAAUUAUAGUAAAACAAACAAAUUUGUCGCAGUUACGAACACAAACGGUUUCUGGCAUUUUCAAGUGCACUUCAGGCGUGUCGACAAGUUCAGUUUAAUUUCAAAUAAAUUGCAUAGUAUAAUUUAAUUUUUGCAUAAAAUAAAAAUUAGUCCAAAUAUAUGUAUAUUUUUGACCUGCACCGAGAUGUGCACUCAUUAUUAACACUAUUAAGAUAUGAACCUUACUGCUAUUUGUACUAAUUAGUAUGUUUACUUAUUACUAGUUGAAAGUUUGUUUACAUAUAAUAUAUUGUUUGCUUUUAUACAUUUGCUUUAUUCUAGGAUAAGUUUGUUUUCAAGUUUUUGUUUACUUAAACUCAAGGCUGUUUUUGUUUGUUUAGAGUAUUUUGAUAAGAUAAUUAACUCUCCCAUCUGUUAAAAUUAAAUAUCCUCAUUUCAAAGCAUAUAGGUGCACUUUUCCACCCGCAUUUCCAAUUCCUCCUGCAAAUGCUCAAUUGAGUUGAGGUCUGGAGAUUAUGGUGAAUGGGACAAUAGAUGUGCGAUGUUAUAGGUUAACAACAUUCUUAAGUUAUGUCUUGGUCACAUUUCAUGGGUUUGGUAAAUUUAGUUUUUGGGGAUUUUUUUCAAAAUUUCCUUCAAUAUAUGUAUUUAAUUAAACCGUUUUGUCCCUAAUGUCUUAUAUGAAUACCAGCACAUCCAAACCUGCAGCAGACAUGUAUCUUCACACCAUCACCCUCAUAUUUCACUGUUAGAGAAAGAUUUUGUUUUUAAAAUUCAGUGUUUGGCUUUCUCCAUACUGAAGUACGGCCGUCGCUCCGAAAGAUAUUGUACUUACUCAUCUGAGAAGAGUAUUUGAUCCCAAAAUGUAGAUGACACUCUUUCGCGUAGUCUAGGCGCUUCUUCUGGUUACGUGAAAAUAUCGACUAAAUUUUUCGGGCAACACGCGAGUCGCAUGAAUUACUCUUCUAACGGUCAUGACAUGAAUAUCCUCUCCAAAUACAUUUUUUACCUCAGCAGAAAUCUGCGUAUAUGAUACUCGUAUUUUCGGAUCUAUUUUUUUUAGUUUGUUGCAUUUCACAAUCACUUAAAACGCAAGGACGACAGGUAUGCGCAGUACCUUUUAAACAUGAUGCUCCUUUAAAACGCUCUAUGAUAUUGGUUGUGCAGAUAUCAAAUAAUUUUUCGCUGAGAAAAUAGUAGAUUCUUUUUGUUUUGAAGGCAUUUUUAUAAGAAAAGUGGUAGUUAAAUAAUGGACUUAACAAAGAAAAUAUGUUUACACAAAAUAACCUAUUAGUCUGCUUUUAAAAUAGCUGUAAAACACAAAAUGGACGCUGUGCCAAAAAUUAUGUGAAGUUUUAUUUUCUCUUAUGAUUUAGUUUUGCUAGCUGAUGUUUUUUUAAAUUCGUUGUAUUACUUUUACUAAAAUUUAGUGUGGAAAAAAUCUUUAAUUUUACGGUGUGUUAAAAUAAACAAAUAAAGAAGUGCUAAAUUCGAAUGCAAAUUUAACUCUUGCCAAGCAAUUUUCUGUAUAAUAUAUAUAAAUUAUACACCGCCCUACAUAUUCGCCAUAAGGUUUAUGAUAAAAACGAAAAUUAUUAUAUGUAGUAUAUCGUCACCUGAAAUGCAAAUUAACGUAACAACAUUUUCAGAAAUUUACAGUGGCAUGAAUGAAACACGGAAUAAAAUGGAACAUGAGUGAAACAAAAUAUUAAUAUUGGUUAAAACUGAUUUAUAUAUGACCGCAGAACCAGAAAAUGUUGAACAUGUUUAAUUUUAUGUAUAUAAUUUGAAGUAGUGAAGCGUAAUCAAUAAGACACUCAAUUUCGAAUUUUUUAAUGAUACGUUAUUUUGCAUUUCAGGUGACGAUAUGGAUAUAUGGGAGUUAUUGGUAUGCCGUAUACUAAAAAAUGUUCCCUGGGUUUCAUUAAGGUACCUCACACAGUCACCUAUCAUAUGGAGUAAAGCCAGCCAUAUGUUCGAAAGUCGUGAAAUUAGUUGUAUGGAGCCUAGGUCAAGUUUUCGCCGAAUUUUAUCUAUUUUAUUCACAACCCGUCAUAAUGCAUCGCAAAAUCAUAAAAUUAUAAAUGUUUACUGUGGUUUGAAAAAUUGUUGUUGGAUUACAUACAAAAAUGAGUUUGCAGAUUUACAAUCCUCAAUGCUUUGUUUUCGGAUCGUUAUAACUUAUAACUUUAUGAGACUAUGUGAAACCCCUAACUAUUACGAGCAAAACAUGCUCUCUCAUUUUGAUUACUCAAAUAUUGGCCGACAUAUAUGCAGUAUAAAGUCAUCAGGAAGUUUGAAAAUCUUAACAUAAUAACAAACAAAUAACAGUGCUUAUCCUCCAAGGAGACUGGUUGUCAGCAAGUUUGAUUGAUUUAAUUUUAGGCGUUUGAGAUAUACAUAUGUAUAUACUUUCAAGUAUCUUAAUUUGUGGAUUAGUUAUGUCCUCUAUAGCUUUUUGGGCUUUAUUACGAUUCUUUUGGCGGCGCGAUUUGACGAUUUGUGUGUUUACAUUAUGACAAAUAGCAGUGUUGCCUACUUUGUGUCCUGAAAAAUAAUCAAAAAAUUGUCUGUUUCAUCUUCAGAGAUAUAAAUGGUUCAAAAUGAACAGAAAGGAGUUCGACACAAAAGAACUAUAAACACUCCCAUGUUAGACCGACCAGGGUUAUUUUUUUAUCUUUAUGUAUCAAAUAACAUAAGAUACAAAAUUCAUUUGUACCAUUGUCUCUAUAUAUGUUAAACAGAUAAUUUCUUGAUUAUUUUUUCAAAACACAAUAUGUGGCAGCACUGGUAUUUGUCAUGUCAUGUAAAUAAACCAACUAUGAGGGUGAAUUGCAUAUAAAAUUGUGGAGCUUUAAAUACAAAUAUCUCGAAAACUAAGUUUGGGGAGGGUAUAUUUGUAUUUUAUUUAUUUAUUUUAAUAUGACCUGUAAAUAAAUUAACAGACGUACUAGAAAAAAAGAACUGGCCUUCGUCCCAUUUUGUACUUAUAGGUACAUAUUAAUUUACCUAUAUGAAUAUUUCAACACUAAAUUAAUUUUAAUAGUAUAGGAGGUAUAGCGGUAUGCAAAUCAACAUUUUACGAUGUGUCAUUGUAAGUUUAUUAGGUGUUGAAUGCCCUGCCAACCACGGCUACCCACUUUUGUCAAAUGUUUCAAUACAACUAGUCAUUUUUUUCUAUGCACUAAACCCAUUUUCGGGUUAUUUUUUGUUUACCUAAAUGCGAUGAAAAAUGUUUCUUUCAUUUCUUGAUUUAUUUGAAUGAGUGCGAAGGAGAAAACAUAAUUGUCAAUAGUGUCAAAAGAAAAUCCCAAAAAGGGUAAUAAAAAAAAAACGAUUGAAAGACGCAUGUCAUAUGCUGAUUACAAUGCUUACGACACGACACGACAGUACGACAGUGAACUGAAAAUGGUGUUGUGCAUCUUACUACAUGAACAUUCGUAAGAAUGCAGCAACAUAACAAUGGCCGGCAUGUACACAAGACAACGCAGUUGUCCAUUUUGCAUGUACACAAUUUCGUUGUGGCCAUACUAAUACCUUGCAUUUCAAUGAAAUUUUAAUAUUUUGUUCAAAGUGAAAUUUUUUAUGCAAAAAAUUUGUAAAUAGGUAAAUUUAUUUGUUUUAAAUUAUCAAUUGUUAUUACAAAUGGUAAAAUAGAGCUAUUUUAUGCUUUUAUUUGUAAAAUAACGUCAACUUUGUAAGAGCUGUGAAUAAUUUUACAUUUUACAUAUUAGUGGCAUCACCACUCUUCAUCAUCUUCCAUUCUACUGUCAACUCUACUGUCGUCCUACUUUCGUUGCCAAAUAUAGGAAAAUAUUGAAGUUAGCGAGAACGACAACCGUCGGCCUAGUCGUGCAGCUGUCAAAAUAACAGUGUCCGUAAAAACGUGUGUAUUUUAAUAUUUGACAGAUGUCGUUUGUCGUCUGUCGUCGUAUUGUAUUCAGUACUUCAUUCGUGAUCGUCCGAUCGUCCCAUCGUAAAGGAGGCUCGUACAACAAGAAAGUAACAUUGAAAAUCAGAAUGAAUUGGAAAUAGCAGCAGCAGCAAUAUCAUCAGAAGCAGAAAAUAUCAAUUGUUAAGUUCGUAUCUCUGGACUGACAAAUAAAACCAAAAGCCGUUUAAUUCACUUCAACAAAAUCUCUUUAUUUUACAACUCGUCUACACUAUAUCAGUUUACUCUUAGCACUGGUUGAUUACGUUGGCGCUGCCACGGCUUAUAUAGCCACGCACUUCUCGCUGAUGCCGACGUGUCCUUCUAGAAUAUUGCGUCUGGAAAUUACAAGAACAUAAUGCUAUACGGCGCCAAAUGCAGACAAGCAGACAGCCGCGGCGCCAGACUCAGCAUUUGUUCAAGCAGACAGCUGCGGCGCCAGAUGUCUAUUGUUUCGACAAGCAGACAGCUGCGGCGCCAGAUGUCAACAACAAAACAAAUGCUAUUCCAUAUACCUACAGCUAUUGUUCAUAAUAAGGGAUGCAUAUAGCAAUACAAAUACAACUUAAUACUACUUUUUGUAACAAUAUUUAUAUUUUCUUUCAGAUGUUAUUAUUAUUUUUAUUUAAUUAUUCUUUCUUUUCAGAUUUUAUCACUACUUUUAUUUAAUUACUCUUUGCUUUCAGAGUAAAUUUUAUUUGUAUUUAAUAUAUUUUAUUUUUAUUUUUUAU
Bactrocera dorsalis (oriental fruit fly) is the source of this 7141-nucleotide long non-coding RNA. RefSeq lists it as uncharacterized. The record is from RefSeq and is a predicted model, not a curated record. The transcript is spliced from 3 exons. NCBI's taxonomy places the organism in Eukaryota, Metazoa, Arthropoda, Insecta, Diptera, Tephritidae.